Molecule: ribosomal RNA, 492 nt
Filed under: uncultured bacterium
Lineage: Bacteria
Description: partial 16S ribosomal RNA
Rfam family: Bacterial small subunit ribosomal RNA
Source: RNAcentral
AGUGAACGCUGGCGGUAGGCCUAACACAUGCAAGUCGAACGGCAGCACAGUAAGAGCUUGCUCUUACGGGUGGCGAGUGGCGGACGGGUGAGGAAUACAUCGGAAUCUACUUUUUCGUGGGGGAUAACGUAGGGAAACUUACGCUAAUACCGCAUACGACCUACGGGUGAAAGCAGGGGAUCUUCGGACCUUGCGCGAUUGAAUGAGCCGAUGUCGGAUUAGCUAGUUGGCGGGGUAAAGGCCCACCAAGGCGACGAUCCGUAGCUGGUCUGAGAGGAUGAUCAGCCACACUGGAACUGAGACACGGUCCAGACUCCUACGGGAGGCAGCAGUGGGGAAUAUUGGACAAUGGGCGCAAGCCUGAUCCAGCCACACCGCGUGGGUGAAGAAGGCCUUCGGGUUGUAAAGCCCUUUUGUUGGGAAAGAAAAGCAGCAGGUUAAUACCCCGCUGUUCUGACGGUACCCAAAGAAUAAGCACCGGCUGACUUCGUG